UGCGUUCGGAAGGCCAUCCAAGGCUGCGUCGACUCGGGCACUUGGAGUCCUCAUCUUCAAGAGCAACAUCUCUAUCCUAUGUCGUCUCGGGAGUUGGAAUGUAGGCCUGGGCUCACUUGUGCCUCGGCUCCUACAUGUCUCCCUAGGCAGAACGUCAUCUCGGGAGGUUACCAAGUUUUACCCGGUGACGGGAUCAGUUCCGAAACGGUAGAUGUAGUUUGGUCUGGCUCCUGGCCAGUAAGUUACGGGACGGGAGGUGACACUACUCGAUUCAUGCCACCCUAUACGCCGUCUCCGUAGCAUCCAUUCGUCGGUAGCAGAGCGUCUUACGCACCUAUCGUCUAGCGGGAGAUCGUAGACGGGUCGUCUUGCGGUCCUAUGCGCCGGUAGCGAUUCGGUAGAUCGGGAGGCGGGAGAUGUUGGCGAUGCUGUCAUCAGCCGAUGGUCCGGUCCACCGCGGGAGAGCGCACAUCGAUAUUUUGAUUGGCACGGAUGACGUCAGAGUUGUACCCUUGGAGGAAAGGGCCCGGGAGGUCGUCGUAGGUCGUCCUUGGCUCAACUCGUCGGUAUUUUCCCAGGUCACAUAAGAGAAUAUUCGGAACAACAACAAAAAUUAGCUUAAUAUACGGAAUAUCUCUUAUUUCAAUUUAGCCUUGGUGAUUCGUUUCGGUGUGCUGGAGUUUUCUAUUUUAUUAACGAAAAACGGGAGGAAAUUCGGGGAGAUUUGGGUGCCGUAGUAACGGGGCUGAAAACGCCACGUUACAACUCCCCUCCCCGUGGGGGAAGAGCGGAUAGGUUUUCAACCUUCGCUAACGAAAGAGAGGUCACGAAUUGGCCGUACUUUAGAUCUGAGUUACGUAAGUGUCAGGACGUUGGUGAUACUGGAUCAUGAAGAUUCUGAUGGUGGUCGGAAAUACGCGAGCGGGGGUUUAACGAAAGAAAUGUUCCAAAAGCCGCGGGCUGUUACCGGGUCACUAAUUUUUACCGGGCUACUAAGAGCAGCAUUAGACGCACGAAUUGCCGAAGUUGCGGCACUCAAGACGGAAAAUGUUGAAUUAAAAAGCCCAUUGGAGGCACCAAAAAAAAACAGAGGCUCAGAUAGAGGUCGAGGCUCCGGUCCCAGCUCUGAUCGCCCGGCCCCCUGUGCUUGCGCGGUCGUGCUCCAAAUCCCCGCGACCGUUCACAUUAGCGGAGGAUCUGCAGAUCCUCCACUAUUUAAGGGAAGAGGAGGCGGGGCGCUUAGCCAGAUACCGUGGGAUGGCGGUAUGGAAUGAGCUCGCGGCGAACGAACUAAUACCGGGGAGGUCGGCGCACACAUUGAGCGGCCGUUUCAGAAAGGUACUGCUGAACCGGAUAGAGGAUUAUUCGAAGCUUCCCGAUAGUGUUCGAGCGGCGGUGAUCGCCGAGCGGGACGACCAGCUGUAGGUUAAGUUAGGUUUUGUUAACAAUAAGUCAAGUUAUUUUGAUCGACCGUAAGAUUAACAGGCAAUUUAAAAAAAUUAUUCCCGUCUAGGAUACCAAACGUGCGCGUGAAGGUAUGUAGUAAUAUGUUUUGUAAUAUCCCCUGUCAAUAUUCGAUAAAUUGUACCUAAUCUUGUAACAUGAAAAAAAAAAAGGAAAAAAAAAAAUAACCAAACGUCGUAAGUGGCGCCCAACGUGGGGACCCGGGAAACACCCACGUGCCUUCGGCGCGAUCUGUACGAAACGGGAAACGGAAAACGGAACGAAAAUUACACCGUAACCAAGUUGACGCCAAAUAUUAAUUUUUUUCAAAAAACCAAACGCCAAAAAAUUGCUCACGAAUUGCUCUUUCGAAAUACACAAUUGCUCUA
This 1832-nucleotide unclassified non-coding RNA is filed under the name Athalia rosae (coleseed sawfly). Its description in RNAcentral is "misc RNA ENSAEAG00005004127.1". Lineage: Eukaryota; Metazoa; Arthropoda; Insecta; Hymenoptera; Athaliidae. The record is from RNAcentral.